RNAcentral lists this long non-coding RNA (317 nucleotides) under Pan troglodytes (chimpanzee). RNAcentral's name for it is "long non-coding RNA NONPTRT008186". The record is from RNAcentral. Lineage: Eukaryota; Metazoa; Chordata; Mammalia; Primates; Hominidae.
ACCAAGUGGACAGAGGCAACAAGAUCAAGUUGAUGGUAGAGAUCAGCGACCCAGACCUGCCCCUCAAGUGGUUCAAGAACGGCCAGGAGAUCAAACCAAGCAGCAAGUACGUGUUUGAGAACGUUGGUAAGAAGCGAAUUCUUACCAUCAACAAGUGCACGCUGGCGGAUGACGCUGCCUAUGAAGUAGCUGUCAAGGAUGAGAAGUGUUUCACCGAGCUCUUCGUCAAAGAACCUCCAGUCCUAAUUGUCACACCUCUUGAGGACCAGCAGGUGUUUGUGGGUGACCGGGUGGAAAUGGCAGUGGAGGUGUCAGAA